CUUGGUCAUUUAGAGGAAGUAAAAGUCGUAACAAGGUCUCCGUUGGUGAACCAGCGGAGGGAUCAUUACUGAAUGUUACCAAACAUAAACCCUUGUGAACCUUUUGUAUUUUCUGCCUUGGCAGGUAAUCCCAGGGCGGGAUUCUGGGCCUCUUCGGGGGCACCUGCCAGCGGUGGAACAUUUUUAUACUCUGAUUUACAGUGGAUUUCUGAGUGUCUUCCAAAAUAAAUCAAAACUUUCAACAACGGAUCUCUUGGUUCUGGCAUCGAUGAAGAACGCAGCGAAAUGCGAUAAGUAAUGUGAAUUGCAGAAUUCAGUGAAUCAUCGAAUCUUUGAACGCACAUUGCACCUAUUAGUAUUCUAGUAGGUAUGCCUGUUCGAGCGUCAUUUCAAACCUCAAGCGUCUGCUUGCUGUUGGAGCAUUGCGUACUUUUCUCUCUUAGGGAGGAAUUGCAAGCCCUGAAUUAUAGUGGCGGAGCUGCUGUAGACUCUGAGCGUAGUACUACUAAUCGCUUCUGAAAUCUCAGUGGUGCCUGCCGUAAAACCCACUAUAUUUUCUCUUUGUUUGACCUCGGAUCAGGUAGGAAUACCCGCUGAACUUAAGCAUAUCAAUAAGCGGAGGA
RNAcentral lists this ribosomal RNA (623 nucleotides) under uncultured fungus. RNAcentral's name for it is "eukaryotic LSU rRNA". The stretch from base 234 to 387 matches the Rfam family "5.8S ribosomal RNA". The record is from RNAcentral. Lineage: Eukaryota; Fungi.